This 513-nucleotide long non-coding RNA is filed under the name Ursus thibetanus thibetanus. RNAcentral's name for it is "lncRNA (ENSUTTG00000001092.1)". The record is from RNAcentral. Lineage: Eukaryota; Metazoa; Chordata; Mammalia; Carnivora; Ursidae.
UGAAAUUUUAUGCUCCUAGUAAGUAUGUCCCCCUAUUCUUAACAGGCCCUGUUUACAGAGUGCAAGAGGCGCUUAGACUACUCCAUGUUCCUGGGGCUGCGACAUUUGCAUUUCCACCGGCAGUGAAAAAGAGCUCCUGUUGCUCUACAUCCUUGGCAACAUUUGGUAUUGACGGUGUUCUGGAUAAUGGCAUUUCUAAUAGGUUUUUCAACCAAAUAAAAGCAUCUGCAUUCUUACUUUAGACUGCUAACUAAGAUCCCAUAUAGGUAAGUUCUUACUUAACACUGCUAAGCUGCCAGUCCAAAUUGGGAUGGGUAACCAAAAAAUGGAGCCAAACAGUAAAUGUUACUUGUCUUUCACAGCUGUUUUUCAACUCCUGUUACCUUAAGACUAUUCCACAUUGUCCGGUGUCAGGAUCUAAAAGCAAAUAGGUGACUUUCUAUUUGGUUUUUAACUGUAAUAUUAGUUCAGGUCAAAUAGCCAGUUGACAGAGAUUAAUCAAAACAUGAGAAU